ACCUCGGUAGCUUAACGGUCGAAAGCAGUGGGGCGUAAACCUGAAGACCUGGAUUCGAAUUCCAGUCGAGUUUGUA
This is a non-coding RNA of Henosepilachna vigintioctopunctata, 76 nucleotides long. The record is from the annotation of a GenBank genome assembly. Lineage: Eukaryota; Metazoa; Arthropoda; Insecta; Coleoptera; Coccinellidae.